UUUCCGUAGGUGAACCUGCGGAAGGAUCAUUAUUGUAUAACCGAGGCUUGAGGUCUGUCGCUCACCCGGACGCUUGCGCAAGCCCGAGUGUACCCACACACAACCAUCACACCCCUAUUUACACCACCGCGCGGGUCAUCCUCUGGCUUGUUCGGAGAGGGGCUUACGUUAUCACACAAACUUUGUAUGCAGUGUAGAAUGUCUUUUUUCUAUGUGCGAUCACGCAAUCAAUACAACUUUCAACAACGGAUCUCUGGGCACCAGACUCGAUGAAGACAG
Molecule: unclassified non-coding RNA, 279 nt
Filed under: plant metagenome
Description: partial contains small subunit ribosomal RNA, internal transcribed spacer 1, and 5.8S ribosomal RNA
Source: RNAcentral